Molecule: ribosomal RNA, 548 nt
Filed under: uncultured bacterium
Lineage: Bacteria
Description: bacterial SSU rRNA
Rfam family: Bacterial small subunit ribosomal RNA
Source: RNAcentral
UAGGGAAUCUUCCGCAAUGGGCGAAAGCCUGACGGAGCAACGCCGCGUGAGUGAAGAAGGAUUUCGGUUCGUAAAGCUCUGUUGUUAGGGAAGAAUGAUUGUGUAGUAACUAUACACAGUAGAGACGGUACCUAACCAGAAAGCCCCGGCUAACUACGUGCCAGCAGCCGCGGUAAUACGUAGGUGGCAAGCGUUGUCCGGAAUUAUUGGGCGUAAAGCGCGCGCAGGUGGUUUAAUAAGUUUGAUGUGAAAGCCCCCGGCUCAACCGUGGAGGGUCCUUGGAAAACUUUAAAACUGGAGGCCGGGGGGAAAAAGGGAAAUUCUAGUGUAGCGGUGAAAUGCGUAGAGAUUAGGAGGAGCACCAGUGGCGAAGGCGGCUUUUUGGCCUGUAACUGACACUGAGGCGCGAAAGCGUGGGGAGCAAACAGGAUUAGAUACCCUGGUAGUCCACGCCGUAAACGAUGAGUGCUAAGUGUUGGUCUCAUAAGAGAUCAGUGCUGCAGCUAACGCAUUAAGCACUCCGCCUGGGGAGUACGACCGCAAGGUUG